RNAcentral lists this ribosomal RNA (253 nucleotides) under uncultured bacterium. Its description in RNAcentral is "partial 16S ribosomal RNA". It matches the Rfam family "Bacterial small subunit ribosomal RNA", at positions 524 to 776 of the family's 1533-position model. The record is from RNAcentral.
UACGGAGGGGGCUAGCGUUGUUCGGAAUUACUGGGCGUAAAGCGCACGUAGGCGGCUUUGUAAGUUAGAGGUAAAAGCCCGGGGCUCAACUCCGGAAUUGCCUUUAAGACUGCAUCGCUCGAAUUGUGGAGAGGUAAGUGGAAUUCCGAGUGUAGAGGUGAAAUUCGUAGAUAUUCGGAAGAACACCAGUGGCGAAGGCGACUUACUGGACACAUAUUGACGCUGAGGUGCGAAAGCGUGGGGAGCAAACAGG